Molecule: RNA transcript, 2413 nt
Organism: Platichthys flesus (European flounder)
Lineage: Eukaryota; Metazoa; Chordata; Actinopteri; Pleuronectiformes; Pleuronectidae
Gene name: perforin-1-like
Exons: 4
Source: RefSeq, a predicted model, not a curated record
UUCAAUUCCAGCAGGAUCAAGACUUUAGACAGUUUGCAGUUCAUCACUUACAGUGAACUGUGCCAUCAAUGGGCUUAGUGAAGAGGGAGCAUUUAAAUAGAGGCAGGCGUUUUGGCAGGGGAAGACAAGAUACAGCUUGACAACUCCUAAAGGAAGACGACGAAAUGGACUGAAGGACAAUUAAACAAAUACAGUCCAAGGUCACCAUGCCAGCAGGAAAACAUCAACGGAGCAACUUCAUUCUGUUGAUAAUGGCUUUGUCAAUCAUGUUGGAGUUCUGCUGGAUCCAUGGCUGUCGGACUGGCUCUGGGUGUGAAAAAGCUCCUUUUUUUACAGGCCACAACCUGGCAGGAGAGGGCUUCGACGUGGUGCGGAUGCGCUGAAUGGGCGUGUAUGUCAUCAAGGUCAAAGCUCACCUGGCUGACAACCGCACCUGCACACUGUGUCCCAACCGGUUCCAAAACGGACAGGUAGAGUCAUAAUACCAGACUGCUCAGGCCUCUCAGGCCAGUCAUUCUUAAUCCUCCUCAGAUUCAGAGGCUUCCAGCGGCGGUGCUCGACUGGCAUCCCUUCAGCCGCUGCAGUAAGCAGCUUUUUAGUGCCCUGCACCACUCGGUGGACUCCCUGCUGCGCAGCUCCAACUCCCUGGUUAACAACAACUGGUACCUGGGUUUGAGCUUGACAAGUUGGCAAGGCAGUGCUAGGAGGAAGCAGAUCAGACCUGGCAAGGUGGGUCGUUCACAAGACAGCGGGGCCAAGGCCACUUCUGCCAUCCAUGAAAUCAGUUGCACCUACUACCGGUAAAAGGGAACUAGAGCUACAGGCUGGCUGAUCAUCCCCAGCUGACUACAGAAUUUAGAAAGCAUCUGAACCGACUCCCACCAAGAUUAAACACAAGCCAGGACAUAGCCAAGUACAGACGUCUGAUAGACACCUAUGGAACACACUAUAUACACCAGGUUCGUAACUUCAUCUACACUGGUAAAGCUUAUCCAGACUUCACUCUGGACACACGCUUUGCCUAGCAAGCCAAAGAGAUUGCUGAUGAAAUUGAAAACAACCAAACGAGGAACGCAGAGUAUCUACAGCCCCUCUCUCCUGAACACCAAGGCCAAAAGUUUCUCACCGAACUUCGUCCCACAAAAUGUCCUCUCGGAUGGCCAAGUUAUCUGUGUGAGUGACGACUAUGAAGCCGGAUCCAGAUUUGCAGAACCCUUCAGAGGCCUCUUCAGCUGUCAGUCAACCAACCCACUGGCAGGAGGCCAACGUCGCUGCCCUCCCAAGUUCAGUCAGCACCUGGCCACAGUGAGUGAUGGCUGUGAAAUUAUUUACUGUGUCCAGUUAGGACUGUUCACAUGCGGGCAACUGCUCCCAAUCCACCUUCCUCCUUUUACUAAACCUCCGCUCGUCACCGUGCAAGCCAUCGAGACAGUUAUGGUGAUGACCGACAGAGACAAGAGCUGGUUCAGACCAAAAUGUGGAAACUGGCCGAACCAGAGGAAAUUAAGGAUAUUGUGCAUCAAAUGGACCCAGAAUUGAGUCAGAGGAUAGCGGGAGAAAAGGCCGGGAUAGCCUUUGGGGUGAUGGGUUUGAUGGUGCUGGUGGUCAUAGGGGCAGUACUCGUGAAAAGGAGAAGGAGAGGGCUCCCUCGGUUGGGGAUGGGGACGGGCUAUGAGGAAAUACGUGGAGAGGUGUUCUUCCAAUGAGUGAGAUUUAGUUUUGAAGUAGAUUGUCACCUCAGAAAUCUUUGAAUCUUUAAAAAUAUGUUUUUCUGGAAUGGGAGAUUUUGUUGCAGUUCUUCAAGAAUUCCUGGUUUGAUUCAAUUAGGCUAUUUAAUAACAAAACAAAUCUUGAAUUUUGCACUUUCUAACAUUUAAUUACAUCCAAGAUACUUGAUUUCAGCUAAAUCCAUUUCUAAAAUCACAAUAUAAUUAACUGGAGGCAGACAUGAUUUCCAAAGGCUGUGGUGAACAGAUACUGCCCCCAUGAGGGCCAGAUGCACAAUGUUAUUUCAUUUUUUACCCCACAUUUAAGAACCUCAGCACUGAAAAGUACAGUAAAAAAGAAAUGCAUUUACAAAUGUUUUCACAGAUAACUAGUGGACCCUUUGUAAUGUGUGUAUGAAUCAUUUUGGUACUGUACUUGCAAUUAAAAAACUAUACGUGUAUAAAUUGUGGCUGUUCUGCAAUACACAACUAUGAAUUAACUAUCAAAGUUAUUUAAAAUAACAUGGCUCUAUGUCUUUAUGUUUGCUAUCUCUCUGGUCAAGGACCAUGUCUAAAAUGUUCAAAUAAUAUCUUGGUAGUUGGUCAAGGACAUAAUUAAUGGUUAACAUGUCUGCAUGCUUUGUAUAUGUUUUUAAUAGAUCUUGUAAACGUUAGUUCAAAAAGCAGAAACAAUUCAAUGGACCUCU